CUUGUCAACAAUGACGAAGAGGACUAUAGCCACGUGUCCACUAGAUGCGAUUUUCCCGCACGGCAACGCACCGCAUCUGAAAAUUGCACGGAUGGCGGGCGGUCACUAGCGGACCACAGCAUUGUCACGUGACAGCGGUCGAGCAACAGUGGGCCACUACUCGGUCACGUGACAGCACUUUCAGCUUGACGGUCCGGUAGAUGACUCGGAUAAACACAGUGGCUCGGCCGCAAACUUUCUCUUUUAUUUUGAACACACUUCAGCGAGAGGGCGGUGCCACGCUCCCAUCUGGGAGAGGGCUGCGCGUCUUGUACGUGCAUCCUCUCUCCCUGGAGCCGGAGGGCUACAUCAGUAGCGUGGUUUGGCGUGGAUCUGCGUGGUAGUUAUGAGACGCUGGCUGUCGAGCUUUCGCUAUUCCCUUUCAUCUGGAGCUGUUGGGCCAGGUGGCUGGUGGCUGACUGAUUCCCCCGGCGGUGGUAGUCCCUUCACUCCCUGUAUAGUAGUGCACUUGGGUGUCCGUCAAUGGUUUUGUUUUGUUCGCGUGUCAUCAGGACCCUUCCCUUCCCCCCUUCAGUUAGUCAUCCCUGCCUGUGAUUGGGCUGCAUUUUUCUGCGGCUGUCUCCUCUGUUGCCUGACAAGCUGCGGGUUCACUGACGGGUGGCUCUACCUCCUGAAGCGGGCUGCUGCUGUUCUGUCUGUGGUUCAUCACGGAGCUGUUGGGCCAGGUGGCUGGUGGCUGACUGAUUCCCCCGGCGGUGGUGGUCCCUUCACUCCCUGUACAGUAGUGCACUUGGGUGUCCGUCAAUGGUUUUGUUUUAUUCACAUGUGGUGUGGUGCAUCAGGACCCUUCCCUUCCCCCCUUCAGUUAGUCAUCUCUGCCUGGUAAGCCCUCAGCCCUGUGCCUAGUGACUGUCUUUCGGUGGCAAACUUAACUAAUCCAGGGGGGCCCCUGGAGGAUUAGAUUAAUAUUGUGCCACUUACUACCGAGUUAUUUCUUGGCAUCACCACCAAGGGUUUUUUAGUGAGGAAAGAGUGUAAAUUUUUAAAUACUGUUAAUAAAUUUCAUUUUUCUAUACUUUAUUUGGAAUCGCGUCAGUCUCUGGUGUCUGUCGUACCUGUGUGACCUUUCCUUUGUCUGUAUUGGAGCAGUGGUCCUCUCUCCAUAGAUCUCCUGGGGGUGAAAUUCCCCCAGG
This is a long non-coding RNA of Amphiprion ocellaris (clown anemonefish), 1193 nucleotides long. The record is from Ensembl. Lineage: Eukaryota; Metazoa; Chordata; Actinopteri; Pomacentridae.